GACGAACGCUGGCGGCGUGCUUAACACAUGCAAGUCGAACGGAAAGGCCCUGCUUUUGUGGGCUGCUCGAGUUGCGAACGGGUGAGUAACCCGUGAGUUACCUGCCCUUCCCUUUGGGAUAACCUCAGGACACUGGGUCUAAUCCCGGCUAGGAGCUCCUGCUGCUUGGUGGGGGUUGGAUGGUUUCGCCGGUUGGGGAUGGACUCGCGUCUUAUCAGCUUGUUGGUGGGGUAGCGGAUUACCAAGGCCUUGACGGGUAGCCGUGCUGCGAGGGUGACCGGACAAAUUGGGACGGAAAUACGACACGGACUCCAACGGGAGGGAGGAGUGGAGAAGAGUGCACAAUGGGCGGAAGGCUGAUGCAGCAACGCCGCGUGGGGGAUGAGGGCCAGCGGGUAGUAAACCGAUUUCGCCUGUGACGAAGCGAGAGUGACGGUAAUGGGUAAAGAAGCACCGGCUAACUACGUG
This 468-nucleotide ribosomal RNA is filed under the name uncultured bacterium. RNAcentral describes it as "partial 16S ribosomal RNA". It matches the Rfam family "Bacterial small subunit ribosomal RNA", at positions 28 to 507 of the family's 1533-position model. The record is from RNAcentral.